This 1377-nucleotide ribosomal RNA is filed under the name uncultured bacterium. RNAcentral's name for it is "bacterial SSU rRNA". It matches the Rfam family "Bacterial small subunit ribosomal RNA", at positions 1 to 1366 of the family's 1533-position model. The record is from RNAcentral.
CGGGAAUUCGAUUAGAGUUUGAUCAUGGCUCAGAUUGAACGCUGGCGGCAUGCCUUACACAUGCAAGUCGAACGGCAGCAUGAUCUAGCUUGCUAGAUUGAUGGCGAGUGGCGAACGGGUGAGUAAUACAUCGGAACGUGCCCUGUAGUGGGGGAUAACUAGUCGAAAGAUUAGCUAAUACCGCAUACGACCUGAGGGUGAAAGUGGGGGACCGCAAGGCCUCAUGCUAUAGGAGCGGCCGAUGUCUGAUUAGCUAGUUGGUGAGGUAAAGGCUCACCAAGGCGACGAUCAGUAGCUGGUCUGAGAGGACGAUCAGCCACACUGGGACUGAGACACGGCCCAGACUCCUACGGGAGGCAGCAGUGGGGAAUUUUGGACAAUGGGGGCAACCCUGAUCCAGCAAUGCCGCGUGUGUGAAGAAGGCCUUCGGGUUGUAAAGCACUUUUGUCCGGAAAGAAAUCGCACUUACUAAUAUUAGGUGUGGAUGACGGUACCGGAAGAAUAAGGACCGGCUAACUACGUGCCAGCAGCCGCGGUAAUACGUAGGGUCCAAGCGUUAAUCGGAAUUACUGGGCGUAAAGCGUGCGCAGGCGGUUGUGCAAGACCGAUGUGAAAUCCCCGGGCUUAACCUGGGAAUUGCAUUGGUGACUGCACGGCUAGAGUGUGUCAGAGGGGGGUAGAAUUCCACGUGUAGCAGUGAAAUGCGUAGAGAUGUGGAGGAAUACCGAUGGCGAAGGCAGCCCCCUGGGAUAACACUGACGCUCAUGCACGAAAGCGUGGGGAGCAAACAGGAUUAGAUACCCUGGUAGUCCACGCCCUAAACGAUGUCAACUAGUUGUUGGGGAUUCAUUUCCUUAGUAACGUAGCUAACGCGUGAAGUUGACCGCCUGGGGAGUACGGUCGCAAGAUUAAAACUCAAAGGAAUUGACGGGGACCCGCACAAGCGGUGGAUGAUGUGGAUUAAUUCGAUGCAACGCGAAAAACCUUACCUACCCUUGACAUGCCACUAACGAAGCAGAGAUGCAUUAGGUGCUCGAAAGAGAAAGUGGACACAGGUGCUGCAUGGCUGUCGUCAGCUCGUGUCGUGAGAUGUUGGGUUAAGUCCCGCAACGAGCGCAACCCUUGUCUCUAGUUGCUACGAAAGGGCACUCUAGAGAGACUGCCGGUGACAAACCGGAGGAAGGUGGGGAUGACGUCAAGUCCUCAUGGCCCUUAUGGGUAGGGCUUCACACGUCAUACAAUGGUGCAUACAGAGGGUUGCCAAGCCGCGAGGUGGAGCUAAUCCCAGAAAAUGCAUCGUAGUCCGGAUCGUAGUCUGCAACUCGACUACGUGAAGCUGGAAUCGCUAGUAAUCGCGGAUCAGCAUGCCGCGGUGAA